UGGGUAUUAGUUAAAUAUAUAACAGUUAAAUUGCAUUUAAAAAUUAAUAUAUUUUUAUUAUAUCUUU
This 67-nucleotide transfer RNA is filed under the name Apis andreniformis. RNAcentral's name for it is "tRNA-Ala". Lineage: Eukaryota; Metazoa; Arthropoda; Insecta; Hymenoptera; Apidae. The record is from RNAcentral.